This 68-nucleotide transfer RNA is filed under the name Nematocarcinus gracilis. Its description in RNAcentral is "tRNA-Asp". The record is from RNAcentral. Lineage: Eukaryota; Metazoa; Arthropoda; Malacostraca; Decapoda; Nematocarcinidae.
UAAAAAAUUAGUUAAUUUAUAACAUAGGUUUGUCAGGCCUAAAUUAUCACUUUCUUGAUAUUUUUUAA